AGUGAACGCUGGCGGUAGGCCUAACACAUACAAGUCGAACGGCAGCACAGUAAGAGCUUGCUCUUACGGGUGGCGAGUGGCGGACGGGUGAGGAAUACAUCGGAAUCUACUUUUUCGUGGGGGAUAACGUAGGGAAACUUACGCUAAUACCGCAUACGACCUACGGGUGAAAGCAGGGGAUCUUCGGACCUUACGCGAUUGAAUGAGCCGAUGUCGGAUUAGCUAGUUGGCGGGGUAAAGGCCCACCAAGGCGACGAUCCGUAGCUGGUCUGAGAGGAUGAUCAGCCACACUGGAACUGAGACACGGUCCAGACUCCUACGGGAGGCAGCAGUGGGGAAUAUUGGACAAUGGGCGCAAGCCUGAUCCAGCCAUACCGCGUGGGUGAAGAAGGCCUUCGGGUUGUAAAGCCCUUUUGUUGGGAAAGAAAAGCAGCAGGUUAAUACCCCGCUGUUCUGACGGUACCCAAAGAAUAAGCACCGGCUAACUUCGUG
Molecule: ribosomal RNA, 492 nt
Filed under: uncultured bacterium
Lineage: Bacteria
Description: partial 16S ribosomal RNA
Rfam family: Bacterial small subunit ribosomal RNA
Source: RNAcentral